RNAcentral lists this ribosomal RNA (542 nucleotides) under uncultured bacterium. RNAcentral describes it as "bacterial SSU rRNA". It matches the Rfam family "Bacterial small subunit ribosomal RNA", at positions 777 to 1315 of the family's 1533-position model. The record is from RNAcentral.
AAUAGAUACCCCGGUAGUCCACGCCGUAAAACGGUGGGUACUAGGUGUGGGUUUCCUUCCUUUAGGGAUCCGUGCCGUAGCUAACGCAUUAAGUACCCCGCCUGGGGAGUACGGCCGCAAGGCUAAAACUCAAAGGAAUUGACGGGGACCCGCACAAGCGGCGGAGCAUGUGGAUUAAUUCGAUGCAACGCGAAGAACCUUACCUGGGUUUGACAUGCACAGGACGCCGGUAGAGAUAUCGGUUCCCUUGUGGCCUGUGUGCAGGUGGUGCAUGGCUGUCGUCAGCUCGUGUCGUGAGAUGUUGGGUUAAGUCCCGCAACGAGCGCAACCCUUGUCUCAUGUUGCCAGCACGUUAUGGUGGGGACUCGUGAGAGACUGCCGGGGUCAACUCGGAGGAAGGUGGGGAUGACGUCAAGUCAUCAUGCCCCUUAUGUCCAGGGCUUCACACAUGCUACAAUGGCCGGUACAAAGGGCUGCGAUCCCGUGAGGGUUAGCGAAUCCUUUAAAGCCGGUCUCAGUUCGGAUUGGGGUCUGCAACUCGA